ACAGGUGCUGCAUGGCUGUCGUCAGCUCGUGUUGUGAAAUGUUGGGUUAAGUCCCGCAACGAGCGCAACCCUUAUCCUUUGUUGCCAGCGGUUAGGCCGGGAACUCAAAGGAGACUGCCAGUGAUAAACUGGAGGAAGGUGGGGAUGACGUCAAGUCAUCAUGGCCCUUACGACCAGGGCUACACACGUGCUACAAUGGCGCAUACAAAGAGAAGCNACCUCGCGAGAGCAAGCNGACCUCAUAAAGUGCGUCGUAGUCCGGAUUGGAGUCUGCNACUCGACUCCAUGAAGUCGGAAUCGCUAGUAAUCGUGAAUCAGAAUGUCACGGUGAAUACNUUCCCGGGUCUUGU
RNAcentral lists this ribosomal RNA (350 nucleotides) under uncultured bacterium. Its description in RNAcentral is "bacterial SSU rRNA". It matches the Rfam family "Bacterial small subunit ribosomal RNA", at positions 1034 to 1384 of the family's 1533-position model. The record is from RNAcentral.